This 247-nucleotide non-coding RNA is filed under the name Subdoligranulum variabile. Its description in RNAcentral is "T-box sequence". It matches the Rfam family "T-box leader". From Rfam's summary of the family: Uncharged tRNA acts as the effector for transcription antitermination of genes in the T-box leader family. T-boxes are found upstream of many aminoacyl-tRNA synthetase genes and some amino acid biosynthetic genes usually in Gram-positive bacteria. The anticodon of a specific tRNA base pairs to a specifier sequence within the T-box motif, and the NCCA acceptor tail of the tRNA base pairs to a conserved bulge in the T-box antiterminator hairpin. The record is from RNAcentral. Lineage: Bacteria; Bacillati; Bacillota; Clostridia; Eubacteriales; Oscillospiraceae.
GCAAAUGCUUGGAUGGGAACUAGUAACGGUCUGAACACAGCCACCAGAGAACUGCCGGUUGGUGCAAGGCAGCAGGGCGAGCAGAUCGCGAACUGAUCCCGGAGCAGAUCCACUGAACGCUUCGGCCAGUAAGAGGAUACGGGGGCACCCGUUACAGUGCAGGACUUUGUUGGAAGUCCGGUGAGUGGGGACGAACGUCCCAAUAAGAGUGGUACCGCAGAGCGCUUACACAGCCUUUGUCUCUUGG